RNAcentral lists this ribosomal RNA (249 nucleotides) under Salmonella enterica. Its description in RNAcentral is "partial 16S ribosomal RNA". It matches the Rfam family "Bacterial small subunit ribosomal RNA", at positions 1 to 246 of the family's 1533-position model. The record is from RNAcentral. Lineage: Bacteria; Pseudomonadati; Pseudomonadota; Gammaproteobacteria; Enterobacterales; Enterobacteriaceae.
AAAUUGAAGAGUUUGAUCAUGGCUCAGAUUGAACGCUGGCGGCAGGCCUAACACAUGCAAGUCGAACGGUAACAGGAAGCAGCUUGCUGCUUUGCUGACGAGUGGCGGACGGGUGAGUAAUGUAUGGGAAACUGCCUGAUGGAGGGGGAUAACUACUGGAAACGGUGGCUAAUACCGCAUAACGUCGCAAGACCAAAGAGGGGGACCUUCGGGCCUCUUGCCAUCAGAUGUGCCCAGAUGGGAUUAGCU